UACGGGGGGGGCAAGCGUUGUUCGGAAUUACUGGGCGUAAAGGGCGCGUAGGCGGCCUGCUAAGUCGGACGUGAAAUCCCUCGGCUCAACCGAGGAACUGCGUCCGAUACUGACAGGCUUGAAUCCGGGAGAGGGAUGCGGAAUUCCAGGUGUAGCGGUGAAAUGCGUAGAUAUCGGGAGGAACACCAGUGGCGAAGGCGACUACCUGGCCUGUUCUUGACGCUGAGGCGCGAAAGCUAGGGGAGCAAACGGG
Molecule: ribosomal RNA, 253 nt
Filed under: uncultured bacterium
Lineage: Bacteria
Description: partial 16S ribosomal RNA
Rfam family: Bacterial small subunit ribosomal RNA
Source: RNAcentral